ACGAACGAGGCUGGGGUGCCGGUGCCCCUGAGCUCCCCCCGGGCGGGCGGAUGGCUGUCCUUCCCGGCGCAGGAGACCUCACCGAGCCCGGCUCGGCCGCACGUAUCAAGACGCCUGAGCUCCCGGGAGCGGGCAGAUCCUUCUCACCCCACGAGGGUAAAGGGAAACACGUACCACCCUCAUUUUCCGGCCUUAACCAGAGCGUUUCCAGUUUUGCUUAGCAGCCGUCAGAAAGGAACUGUGACACGUGCACAGCCAAAGAUUCACGUCUUCGUUACUGACCCUAGAGACGUGGGGAUUUCUGCCCGCCGCUACCUUGCAUGUUUUGGGUGGUUCCAGACGCCGAGUUCAGGAGUCAGGAUGACUACCCCAGCGUGGCAUGGCCUUUCCCAUGAGGGGGGAAACUGCUGAUGCUCAAAGGAGCCAGAGGAGAUGAAAUGAUUGAAGAUGCUGGAGAGAAUGGAGACCAUGCAGGCAUCUG
This is a long non-coding RNA of Jaculus jaculus (lesser Egyptian jerboa), 481 nucleotides long. RefSeq lists it as uncharacterized. The transcript has 3 exons. NCBI's taxonomy places the organism in Eukaryota, Metazoa, Chordata, Mammalia, Rodentia, Dipodidae. The record is from RefSeq and is a predicted model, not a curated record.